AGCUCCAGAAGCGUAUAUUAAUAUUGUUGCAGUUAAAAGGCUCGUAGUCGAACUUCUGAGUUUCAAGUGUUACCCGUAUCUAGUAUACUGAGUGUAAGAUCUUGGCCUCAUUUUUUGAUUUAGUUAUCUCCUCUUGAUUGAGUUAGAUAUUUAAUUCAAACCAUUUACUGUGAGUAAAUCAAAGUGUUCAAAGCGGAUGAAUGUCCCGAAUGCUACAGCAUGGAAUAAUGAUAUAAGACUUUGUUUCUAUUCUUUGGCUUCUAGAAUCGAAGUAAUGAUUGAAAGAGGUAGUUGGGGGUGCUAGUACUUGACGGUCAGCGGUGAAAUGCAUAGACCCGUUAAAGACUAACUAAUGCGAAAGCAUUCACCAAGGAUAUUUUCUUUGAUCAAGAACGAAAGU
This 400-nucleotide ribosomal RNA is filed under the name phytoplankton environmental sample. RNAcentral's name for it is "partial small subunit ribosomal RNA". It matches the Rfam family "Eukaryotic small subunit ribosomal RNA", at positions 587 to 990 of the family's 1831-position model. The record is from RNAcentral.